Cynoglossus semilaevis (tongue sole) is the source of this 1963-nucleotide long non-coding RNA. RefSeq lists it as uncharacterized. NCBI's taxonomy places the organism in Eukaryota, Metazoa, Chordata, Actinopteri, Pleuronectiformes, Cynoglossidae. The transcript has 3 exons. The record is from RefSeq and is a predicted model, not a curated record.
UGAACUAAAGUAUUAAUGGUCUGACCACUGUUUUUCCUAAAUUUAUUUAGCUUCUAGUGCAGCUUGAACUCAGAUACUUUUUUUAAAAGAAGACAGCGACACUAUUAUGUUUACAAUAUUUAAACUCAUCCAUUUCUUGCGCCUUUUUAUUUUUUGCAAUAAUAAUAAUAGCAAUAAUAAACACUGUAUUUCAAAGGUUAUUUCAGUUGAUGCGCACGUGUGUAUCUGGUCUUACAUGUGCAUACACACGCUCACACACUGCAUGCAGAUUUUUUUGCAGGGAGUGGUCACUCCCCGAGUUUAAACAACAGUUGAGGAGGGAGAUCCUGCCUCCAGGAGCCAGCCAAUCACAUCACUGUAUUUAAAGAUGAAAGUUGGUUCCAUUAAGGAAGUCCCACGUUACCCGCAGCACUCUCGACUCCUUUCACAACAGACUCUGUUUUUUCCUGCCUGUCAAUGCCAGGAACCCAUUAAGGAGCAGUGGUAGGGGACAAGUCAGGGAAACAAUGUGAGGAUGGACCACACCAUUGUUCCCUGGUGGAGCGCUGUCUGAAACGUCCUGUCGUUUUACUUUAUUUCUUACCAAACUGCAGUGCACGUGUCCACGGUUCAUCCAUAAAACCUGGAUGCAUUAAAAACAGUUCCUCUGUUUUUAAUCACAGGAGGCUCCAUCCCUACCAACAACCUCAGUGCUGCAGGGCCGGGGAUUUACAAGUUCUGGCUCAUAAACUGCUAACGCAAAUGUGGUUUGAGGCACAAGUGCAAAACAACGCAAUCACAGAGAACUUUAAAACUUUUAAUCAAACGUUAAGUACCUGGAAGCAUCUUUAAUUGUUGGACUCCUAAUGGUAAUUAAGCAAAGAUAUUGGAAACCUGCAGCACAGAGACACGAUGCCCAAAAUAAAUGAAAAGCAAAAUCUUUAAACUUAGUCCAUCAGUGAAACUUGACGAUGAGGUGCGUCUUAUACACGUAGCUUCAUGAUUUUCCAUGAAUACUGCAGUACUAUUUCAGUCAUUAUUUACAUUAUAUAUAAAUAAAAAAAUCUAUACAUUUAUCCUCCGAUGUCAUGUGAUCACACUGGCUGUAGGUUUGUUUAAAUGACCUGUCAUUUUCUAUUUUGUAAACUCUCUCAGUUAAACAGUGUAGAGUUGCAAGAAACCCAUCUGUGGUGCACGAGUUAAUAAUCAAUGAGAUGAGCGAUAAGGUCUCUGAGGUCAUUUGAUCAACACCAGACGGACUGAUUCACGUUGGUUUGUCAACAGAACCAGGCUGAUGGUAACAUGGAUUCAGAGGCUGUUACAGAUGCAGGCCGUCUGUGCUCUGCUGGUAAUCCUUGGGACCCAGAGACACCUGCAUAGCUAAUGUCAAUAUGCAUUAAUCAUUUAAGACUGAUGUUCCAAAGUGGCUCAUUUUAUUUAAAAAUAAAUGCAUUUACAUCUUUUUAGAGAUCCACAUCUGACACACACACACACACUCCAGACCAUGUGAUUGAAAAACUGACUGUUUUUUUUUUUUUCUCAAGGUAUUCAGACUGUGGGAAAAGGCGGUUGAGUGAACAGCUGUGCAGCAGGUCCAAAGUCUACAACAGCACCUCUGUCCUGAUAGGAGCUCAACCUCCUGCCGCUGCUGAUAGUGAGGAAAACAUCUCCAGCUUUGGGAUAUAAGCAUGUAUCAACAGACGGGAACCAAGACUCACAGACCUAAAGGAAAACAUCACUACGACACUGGAGUUGACAAUGUGUGAAAUACAUGGUGUAUCAGGCCACGGUUUUGAGCUGCCACACCACCCACCUCUGCUGCUCUGGCCGUGACAGCUUCAAGCCUCCUGGGACAAAGCCUUCUUUGAUAAAGACUGAUGUUAUAGCAGUCAGUGCAUGGAGAAUGAUCCUCAUUACUACCACAGGUUAGAGGUUACAUUCCUGAUGGAUCUGUUGGUAGGUGGCGUCUCUGACAUGCCUGCAU